UGGGGGAUAUUGCACAAUGGGCGAAAGCCUGAUGCAGCGACGCCGCGUGGGGGAUGAAGGCUUUCGGGUUGUAAACCUCUUUCGCUAUCGAACAAGGCCCGCUUAGGGUGGGUUGAGGGUAGGUGGAGAAGAAGCGCCGGCUAACUACGUGCCAGCAGCCGCGGUAAUACGUAGGGCGCGAGCGUUGUCCGGAAUUAUUGGGCGUAAAGGGCUUGUAGGCGGCUUGUUGCGCCUGCUGUGAAAACGCGGGGCUUAACUUCGCGCGUGCAGUGGGUAAGGGCAGGCUUGAGGGUGGUAGGGGUGACUGGAAAUCCAGGUGUAGCGGUGGAAUGCGGAGAUAUCUGGAGGAACACCGAUGGCGAAGGCAGGUCACUGGGCCAUUACUGACGCUGAGGAGCGAAAGCAUGGGUAGCGAACAGG
Molecule: ribosomal RNA, 420 nt
Filed under: bacterium
Lineage: Bacteria
Description: partial 16S ribosomal RNA
Rfam family: Bacterial small subunit ribosomal RNA
Source: RNAcentral